ACUUUGCUCCAGCCAGCCUCUGUAUCUCAUGUAUCAGCGUCCCCACACUUCAAAAUGGCAGCAACAAUACGGAUACAUGACAUACUCUGGGUGCUUUAAUUAAAGCAUCCUCCCACCCAGUCUUGGAACAGGUAUAAAAACAGCCAUAAAUGUUUAAAGGGAAAAAAUCCCACAGGGCAGGUCAACCAUAGGAAGGGAGGCAAGGUUUUCACAAUGAGAUGGCUAAUUCAAGUUUAGGUCUCUCUCAAUGCCAGUGGAGAAUGAGGCACAAGAUAAAAUUAUCUGUAUAUAGCCAGUCAUGGAAAACCCCUAAACUCCCCCAUACCAUUACCUUGACCAGCUACACUGAGGUGAAAUUAACCUGUCUUGGGUAUCAGAAGAUUUUACAAAGUGGCUAAAUCAUUUAAAAACACACACUUUUCCUAGUAAAGAUAUUGUCUACAAGGAGAUAGAACCCUCGUCUCAAAUGUAUUCAUAGUUAUUAGAAUUUCAUGGUUAAGUUUUUCAUUCCACAACAAAGCCAAAAGUAUGGCAAUAAACUCAAGUUCUCCAGGUACCCUUUAUUUUUCCCCAGUAUUGAUAACAGCUAGAGUUUAGAUGCUACUGGGGCCACAAAAUCAAAUGCUGGGCCAGUUCAUCAAGGGUUCUCAGACUGAGAACAUAGUUUACAAGACUAAGCUAUCUUUAAUCUUUCAAGUGACUGCAUAAGAUAUCUAAUAAAUCUGCAGUUACACUGCAACUUGACAGGGCUCCUGGCUUCUGUGCAAAUCAAACUUCAUCUAUCAACAAUCAAUAUAUAGAGAAGAAAUUAGAAGCAUUGUUUCUUCACAUUCAUGGGGGAAGGAAAUAGGAGAAUUCUCUACGCCCUCUGGCUUUUUUCUUUCCUGACCAAAAUCGCCUGGAUCUUAAUCAGGCUUCAACUGACUUGCCUGAGGGCAUUAAAUGACACCUUUUCUAUUUGAAUCAGCUGGAACAAAAAAUUAGUGAACUUUCCAGAGAUAAUUAAAUCAAGUCUGACUGCCCAGGAAGCAAGCUCCUUUUCUCCAAAAUACGUCACCUGGGAAUUCCUUAUCACUACGAUAGUGCAGUCUGGUUUCAAAGGUACUCAAGAAUCAAUCUGUAGGAGAAGUUUGCCUAAAACCAGGAGAUCACUGCAGCUCUCUUGAAGAGGAACUCUAGAGACUGAUGUAAUAUAACAAAGCUGAUUACAGGCCUCCUGAGAAGGAAUAGUUUGUCCUCCAGAGAGCGUGAAAAGAUGCAGACUUCAAGGCUCAGCUCCAGAAAAGAAGGCAUAAGCAGCUGAAGUAGAACACGAGCACCUCAGUGUACAUAGGUCUACAACUACUCUCCUGAAAGCUCCCGCUUGACCUGCUGUGGUCGAGUGAGGCCCUAGCAGCACCAGGCGAGUCGCGCUAUAAAGGGCACGCGCGCUCAGCGAGCGCACCCGAAGAGGAAGACGCUCUACGCCACGCGCCUGCACCCUGACAAGCCUCGGGAUUCUCCCACUUCGGUCCGGCGUCGGAGCCAGCGGCGAGGCGCACGCCCAAUAAGGCAUCUUCCGGCCGCUGCCUGUCAGCAGCGCCCUCCGCCCCACCCCUCUCCUCCCUCGCAUGCGCUCUCCGACACCGACUGGUGCACGCGCUCUCCGUCCCUUCGGGCAUCCGGAAGCGGGCGGGCCGUUGGGCGGCGCAUGCGCCACGCGCUCUUGACGCAACUCCCCUGCGCGUGCGCUGAGUCCGCCAGUUCCUCCGCGUCGCACGUGGCCUGUCACCCGCUCUCGCGCGGCGCAUGCGCAACUGCUCACUUCCCCCUGCCUCCCCCCGCCCCGAUCUCGGCACACGCCUCCUUCCUGUGACCAGGCCCUUCCUGGCGCGCAUGCGCCCUUGCCCUCCUUCCCUCUCCCUUCCCCUCUCAACGAGCUCGGACGCCGUACGCACCUCC
Long non-coding RNA from Alligator sinensis (Chinese alligator), 1941 nucleotides. RefSeq lists it as uncharacterized. The transcript has 3 exons. The record is from RefSeq and is a predicted model, not a curated record. Lineage: Eukaryota; Metazoa; Chordata; Crocodylia; Alligatoridae.